Molecule: ribosomal RNA, 381 nt
Filed under: uncultured Paracoccus sp.
Lineage: Bacteria; Pseudomonadati; Pseudomonadota; Alphaproteobacteria; Rhodobacterales; Paracoccaceae
Description: bacterial SSU rRNA
Rfam family: Bacterial small subunit ribosomal RNA
Source: RNAcentral
GCAGCAUGCCGCGUGAGUGAUGAAGGCCUUCGGGUUGUAAAGCUCUUUUUUCAGGGACGAAAAUAUCGGUACUAGCAGAAGAAUCACCGUCUGAUUACUUGCCGGCAGCCGCCGCUAUACGACGGCGGCUGCGGUUGUUCGGAGUUACCGGGGGUAAUGCGGAUUCAGUGGGUUUUCCAAGUCGGCAGCGGAAUCAUCUAGCUAAUCUUCAAAACUACCCCCUAAACUACUAUUCUGCAAUUGAUUCGAAGGGGCUGGAAUUAUUUGUGGUGAAGUGAAAUAUGUAGUGUAGCGUGGAAAUAACACUGGUUGAGAUGGCACACUACUGCGGUACUGACGCUACUAUCCGAAAGCUGGCGGUGAAAAAAGGAAUAGAUACCC